AAGGCAGCAGGCACGCAAAUUACCCACUCCCGGCACGGGGAGGUAGUGACAAAAAAUAACGAUACGGGACUCAUCCGAGGCCCCGUAAUCGGAAUGAGUACACUUUAAAUCCUUUAACAAGGAUCCAAUGGAGGGCAAGUCUGGUGCCAGCAGCCGCGGUAAUUCCAGCUCCAUUAGCGUAUAUUAAAGUUGUUGCGGUUAAAAAGCUCGUAGUUGGUUCUGCGUCCCAUGCUGUCGGUUCACCGCCUGACGGUGCAACUGACAUGUCGUGGGAUGUCCUGUCGGUGGCGGCCUUGACCCACUGCGUGUGGAGGGAUUCCGAAGCACGCUGCUGCGCGUCAGGCCGCCGAUUCAAUCCUGCCGCGGUGCUCUUGAUUGAGUGUCGAGGUAGGCCGACACGUUUACUUUGAACAAAUUAGAGUGCUCAAAGCAGGCUAAUAAUGCCUGGAUAUUGGUGCAUGGAAUAAUGGAAUAGGACCUCGGUUCUAUUUUGUUGGUUUUCGGAACCCGAGGUAAUGAUCAAUAUGGACAGGCGGGGGCAUUCGUAUUGCGGCGUUAGAGGUGAAAUUCUUGGAUCGUCGCAAGACGCACUAGAGCGAAAGCAUUUGCCAAGUAUGUCUUAGUUGAUCAAGAACGAAAGUUAGAGGUUCGAAGGCGAUCAGAUACCGCCCUAGUUCUAACCAUAAACGAUGCCAGCCAGCGAUCCGCCGAUGUUCCUCCGAUGACUCGG
RNAcentral lists this ribosomal RNA (730 nucleotides) under Naucoris scutellaris. RNAcentral's name for it is "SSU rRNA". It matches the Rfam family "Eukaryotic small subunit ribosomal RNA", at positions 422 to 1079 of the family's 1831-position model. Lineage: Eukaryota; Metazoa; Arthropoda; Insecta; Hemiptera; Naucoridae. The record is from RNAcentral.